RNAcentral lists this ribosomal RNA (423 nucleotides) under uncultured bacterium. RNAcentral's name for it is "bacterial SSU rRNA". It matches the Rfam family "Bacterial small subunit ribosomal RNA", at positions 202 to 622 of the family's 1533-position model. The record is from RNAcentral.
AAGGCCUUGCGCUUUUGGAGUGGCCGAUGCCUGAUUAGCUAGUUGGUGGGGUAAGGGCCUACCAAGGCGACGAUCAGUAGUUGGUCUGAGAGGACGACCAGCCACACUGGGACUGAGACACGGCCCAGACUCCUACGGGAGGCAGCAGUGGGGAAUUUUGGACAAUGGGCGCAAGCCUGAUCCAGCAAUGCCGCGUGAGUGAAGAAGGCCUUCGGGUUGUAAAGCUCUUUCAGUUGAGAAGAAAAGGUUGUGGUAAAUAAUCACAAUUGAUGACGGUAUCGACAGAAGAAGCACCGGCUAACUACGUGCCAGCAGCCGCGGUAAUACGUAGGGUGCAAGCGUUAAUCGGAAUUACUGGGCGUAAAGGGUGCGCAGGCGGCUUUGUAAGUCAGAUGUGAAAUCCCCGGGCUUAACCUGGGAAUU